This 1247-nucleotide long non-coding RNA is filed under the name Olea europaea subsp. europaea. Lineage: Eukaryota; Viridiplantae; Streptophyta; Magnoliopsida; Lamiales; Oleaceae. The record is from RNAcentral.
UAAAAAGGUGGUAUAAAAGUCAAAAUUCCUACACCCCUCCUUCUGUCUCUUUUUAGACAAAUUAUUUGAUACUUCCAUGAUAAGUUAAAUUUUAGUUGUCUAAUAGAUUUUCAAAUCCUCCUUUUCAUCUACCCUUGUUGAAGUUUCUUCUUCUUUCUUCUUUCUUGUGGGAUCGUUAUCUGCCCUAAAUCUUAGCCAUUGGUGGCUUGUAUCUGGUUCAUGGAUAUUGAUCUCUUGUGGUUUCAAGGGGGGUGGUUUAUAUUUCAAAAUUGCAUGGCAAAAACUUCAUCAUUUUCUGCAGAAAUCUCCACAAAAAAUACUAACCCUUUUCUUCUGUUUCUUGUGCUUGUUUUUAUUUUUCUUGUUCUUGUCAAUUCCUCCGAUCCCUCAAAACCCUCCAUGGAUUCAUCACUUCCCUCUGAAAGGCUCCUCUUGAACUCCGAUUCCACGACAAAAUCUUCAAAUUUUCACCCAAGAAAGAGAGAAAAGUACUCACAUGGAUCUUCUUCUUCCAAGAGAGAAUUUGGGGCUGGUGAUCAUGAAGUUCCAAGUGGACCAAACCCUAUUUCCAACAAGUAAGUCUGCUUUUUCCAAAGCAUGAAUUUUCACUGUUCGAGUCGUCAUCGAGGAAGAAGGAGAAAGAUUUGCUAAAGCUGCAGUAAUGGCGUUUAUAAUUCUUGUUUGUUGUUCUCUUUAUCUCUCUAGAUCUCUCUCUAUAGUCAUUAAUUAUGAUCUGAGUUGCCAUUAAUACACUACUUGUCCUCAGUGAGAAGUUUGUUAGUUUCUGUUGUCAUCGUCAUCAGUGUAUAUAUAUCCAGAGACAAGUCUUUAUUUAUACAUAUAUAUAUUUUUAUGUAUUAAAAUCUACUAAAUGUAAACAGUUGUUUAUAGAGAGAGGGGGGGGGGGGAUUAAUUAUUUGUCAGUUAAUUAUGUGAUUGAUUUUGUUCAUAUUCUUCAUAAUAUGCUUAAACCUUUUGCUUUUCCGUGCAAAUUUUCAAGAAAAUAGAAAUAGUUUUGCAUUUCUGCACUAGGGUUUCAGUCUCCACGGAUGGGUUAGCAAAGAAUCUGAGGCCACCCCCACCCCACUUCACCCGAACCCGCUGGGGUGGGUUGGCUUGAAAGGGUGUCAGACGUGGUGGGAGGACCUUUUGUUUUUGGCUGAACAAUAAUUUGAAUGGCUUUGGACUUUACUUUUGUCAUCUCAAGCACAGAAUCCGAGAAAGCUGAAAAAAGGCCAUGAUUUAAU